UACGAAGGGGGCUAGCGUUGUUCGGAUUUACUGGGCGUAAAGCGCACGUAGGCGGAUCUUUAAGUCGGGGGUGAAAUCCUGGAGCUCAACUCCAGAACUGCCUUCGAUACUGGCGAUCUUGAGUCCGGAAGAGGUGAGUGGAACUCCUAGUGUAGAGGUGGAAUUCGUAGAUAUUAGGAAGAACACCAGUGGCGAAGGCGGCUCACUGGUCCGGUACUGACGCUGAGGUGCGAAAGCGUGGGGAGCAAACAGG
Molecule: ribosomal RNA, 253 nt
Filed under: uncultured bacterium
Lineage: Bacteria
Description: partial 16S ribosomal RNA
Rfam family: Bacterial small subunit ribosomal RNA
Source: RNAcentral